ACGAUCACGCCUACGGGUGGCUGCAGUCGAGAAUCAUUCACAAUGGGGGAAACCCUGAUGGUGCGACGCCGCGUGGGGGAAUGAAGGUCUUCGGAUUGUAAACCCCUGUCAUGUGGGAGCAAAUUAAAAAGAUAGUACCACAAGAGGAAGAGACGGCUAACUCUGUGCCAGCAGCCGCGGUAAUACAGAGGUCUCAAGCGUUGUUCGGAAUCACUGGGCGUAAAGCGUGCGUAGGCUGUUUCGUAAGUCGUGUGUGAAAGGCGCGGGCUCAACCCGCGGACGGCACAUGAUACUGCGAGACUAGAGUAAUGGAGGGGGAACCGGAAUUCUCGGUGUAGCAGUGAAAUGCGUAGAUAUCGAGAGGAACACUCGUGGCGAAGGCGGGUUCCUGGACAUUAACUGACGCUGAGGCACGAAGGCCAGGGGAGCGAAAGGGAUUAGAUACCCCUGUAGUCCUGGCAGUAAACGGUGCACGCUUGGUGUGCGGGGAAUCGACCCCCUGCGUGCCGGAGCUAACGCGUUAAGCGUGCCGCCUGGGGAGUACGGUCGCAAGAUUAAAACUCAAAUGAAUUGACGGGG
RNAcentral lists this ribosomal RNA (579 nucleotides) under Escherichia coli. Its description in RNAcentral is "bacterial SSU rRNA". It matches the Rfam family "Bacterial small subunit ribosomal RNA", at positions 326 to 918 of the family's 1533-position model. The record is from RNAcentral. Lineage: Bacteria; Pseudomonadati; Pseudomonadota; Gammaproteobacteria; Enterobacterales; Enterobacteriaceae.